This 478-nucleotide ribosomal RNA is filed under the name uncultured bacterium. RNAcentral describes it as "partial 16S ribosomal RNA". It matches the Rfam family "Bacterial small subunit ribosomal RNA", at positions 28 to 507 of the family's 1533-position model. The record is from RNAcentral.
GAUGAACGCUGGCGGCGUGCUUAACACAUGCAAGUCGAACGAGAAGUGAAGACGGAAACCUUCGGGCGGAAGGCUUUAUUUCGAGUGGCGGACGGGUGAGUAACGCGUGGGUAACCUGCCUCAUACAGGGGGAUAACAGUUGGAAACGACUGUUAAUACCGCAUAAGACCACAGCACCGCAUGGUGCGGGGGUAAAAACUCCAGUGGUAUGAGAUGGACCCGCGUUCGAUUAGCCAGUUGGCGGGGUAACGGCCCACCAAAGCGACGAUCGAUAGCCGAUCUGAGAGGAUGACCGGCCACAUUGGGACUGAGACACGGCCCAAACUCCUACGGGAGGCAGCAGUGGGGAAUAUUGCACAAUGGGGGAAACCCUGAUGCAGCGACGCCGCGUGAGUGAAGAAGUAUUUCGGUAUGUAAAGCUCUAUCAGCAGGGAAGAAAAUGACGGUACCUGAGGAAGAAGCCCCGGCUAACUACGUG